GCUCCUACCGAUUGAGUGAUCCGGUGAAUUAUUCGGACUGACGCAGUGCUCAGCUUCUGGACGUUGCGUUGGAAAGUUUCAUGAACCUUAUCAUUUAGAGGAAGGAGAAGUCGUAACAAGGUUUCCGUAGGUGAACCUGCAGAAGGAUCAGAACCGGAAGAGCAGAGCGUAGUGAAAGGGUGUAGAUCUCAGUGGUCUGCUUGUCAUUAAAAAAAAAAAAACACUAUCAUACUCCAUCCACCCACCUCUACCGACAACUCAUGAUAAUCACUUUGCC
Molecule: unclassified non-coding RNA, 277 nt
Filed under: sea anemone metagenome
Description: partial contains small subunit ribosomal RNA and internal transcribed spacer 1
Rfam family: Eukaryotic small subunit ribosomal RNA (bases 1-153)
Source: RNAcentral